Molecule: long non-coding RNA, 433 nt
Organism: Bolinopsis microptera
Lineage: Eukaryota; Metazoa; Ctenophora; Tentaculata; Lobata; Bolinopsidae
Exons: 4
Source: RefSeq, a predicted model, not a curated record
ACAUUGGGCGGUCUAAUAGAGACAGUGAAGUUAUUGGACGUAUUUUGUUUGACCAUCUGCUGGAAUCUAGAGUUUUACCGCAAAUGCUUCGAUUUGACAAAGGAACUGAGACCGUCCAUGCUGCAGCUGUACACAAAACUCUAUUGCAACUGAAAAAUGUUGACAAGGAGAUUACAACGAUACUUGGUCCUUCUACUGCCAACAAAAUAGAACGAUUGUGGAGGCAGGUCCGCGAAAAGGUUUGUGAUGGUUUUCGUCACGUACUUAGAGAGAUUGAUCAAGACGGUCUGUAUGAUUCAAGUUGCGAGUAUGACAGGGAUUUAAUUGCUGGUGUGUUCAUACCUGUUGUCGAACGUUAUCUCGACGAAUUCAGGGAGAACCAUAACAAUAUGAGGGGAAGAAAGCAGCGCAACGUGGAACUUCCAUCAGGAAC